AAAAGGGUUAGGGGUGUGAAAUAGUUUCGGAACCAGUUCAUUCUGUGAUUUGCUUUCGAUUAUAGGUCAAAAUUGUCAAAUUUGCCCAAAAAAUCACACGCCCAAGCCACCAACGCCAUGUCACAACACCUAGAAAAUCAAAGCCGGCCAGACUCGAAUAAGCCGAGACGACGAAGAAAACAUCCGACGUGCAACUCGACGCCUGACGAAGCGCCCAACAGCUUCACAUGACAAGCAACUCGGCGUCCAACGAAGUACUGGCCAACCGCUUCUCACCUGAAUCAUCGAGUUCAGUAAAUACUACUCCCUCCGUCCCAAAAUGUAAGACGCUUUUUGAUACUAUCACAGUCUCAAAAAACAUCUUACAUUUCGGGACGGAGGGAGUGCUUAGUAAACAAGAUUAUUUGGGAUAAAAUUCAUAUGUACUUUAUUAACUGAUAACUAUUUUUUCAUUCGUUUGAAGGCAAAAUAUUAUGGUUUGGAAAGAGGAUAACUGUACAUAUUUUUUACAGGCAGAAGAAGGCACAAAACUUAGAAGACUCAAAUUCCAAACUCCUACCGUUUGAGCAGCAGAUUUUGAUUAUAUGGCCAACCUAUUUAAGUACAUCCAUAAGGGCGACGACCAAGUAACAGCCUUGCUAAAGGAAAGGGAUGUGGAAAACGACAAUAACAAAUCAAGAAAUGCCUAGAGAUGAGAUACGUAACAACAAUCCACGCAUGCUAGCGGAUAUUCCAGUUUGAACUACACUAUCGUGAUCCACCAGUCAGGAGGCUGCCAUUCUACCUUGAAAGCAAGGAGCAAGUUGUGUUUCCAUACUCGACUGAUAUUGAGAGGAUAGUAAGAAAUCCAAGAUCAAAAAGUAGUUCUGAUGGAGGCAAAUAAAAUACACGAGCUAGGAAAAGAAUUAACCUAUGCAGAAUUCCCAUCAAAAUUUGCAUGGAAAAGCGAAACAAAUAGUUGGGAGAAGCGAUAAAGGAGCUUAUAUGAUUGGAAGAAUAUACCAUGCACACCCCGCCAGGGGUGAGUGAUACUACCUAAGAGCGCUUCUAAACACAGUGAAACGAUCCACGCCAUUUGAUGAUGUUAGAACAGUUCGCGGAUUUGUUCACUCAACAUAUAAAUCAACACACAAGCGCUCGGAGUUCUUAAUGGCGAUAAUGAGUGGAUUGAAUGCAUCAACAAAGCAUCCAGCUAAGAAUCAGGGACAUAAUUGUGUCAUCUAUUCACUACAAUAUAUGCGAUUGCGAGGUGGCCAGCCCAAAGAUGUUGUGGGAUUCAACAUGGGAGGCAACGUCCGAAGAUAACCACUACAAGGGAAGAAUUCUCCUAAACAAAAGAAGGCAUAUGCUCCGAUCGAGAUAGAAAAACUAACGAGGCAGGCAGGAAAGUCAUUAAAAGAAUAUCUAGAGAUAGAAGUACCAAAUGUUACAACAAAGCAAUUAGAACAAAGUUACGAUCACAAGGAAAAGGAGUGCUUGCAGUAGCAUCAUGUGGGAUUGCAGCGUUGCUGCUCCAAGGUGGAAGAACAGCACACUUAAGAUUACACACUCCACUAAAUAUGACAGAAGAAUCAAACUUGGGAAAUAAAAGAAGGCUCACAUUUGGCUGAACUGAUAAAGAAGACCUCACUAAUGUUGUGGGAUGAAGCUCAUAUGGCAAAGAAACACUGCUUCAUGACACUAAACAAAAGCCUUGGGGAUAUUCUAAGGUUCACAACCGAAAACAGCGACGAAAAGCCAUUUGGUGGCAUGACAGUUGUGCUAGGAGGCGACUUCAGACAAAUCGUCCCCAUUUUAACAAAGGGAAAGAUAUAGCAGAGAGUAAGGUCAUACCUAUGGAAUCACGUCAAAAUAUUUAGCCUAACUGAGCACAUGCGGCUGAAGUAUCUAUAAGAAGAUCAAAUACAUACGGAAAACAUGGCCGAAUUUGCAGAAUGGAUGUUACAAACUGGCGAUGGAAAGGCAACAUCGAAUGAAGGAGAUGAUUGGAUAUAAGGCUGAAUACCCCAAAAGAGAUCGGCAAAAGCACAUACCCAUAGUUGCUACAAAACUAGCGUGAUCGCGAUUUUUUUGAAGAAACAACAAUGUCGUGUCAACGAAAUGAAACUGUCAAAAACAUAAAUGACUACAUAAUGAGCCAAAUAUAAGGUGAAGAUGUGACAUACCUAAGCCUGGACACUUAUGCGAGGCAACAACAAACUACAACAUCAUGGAGAACAUGUGUCCAAUGGAGUUCCUUAACAGCAUGACAUUCUCAGGAAUUCUAAACCAGACAAAUUCAAGGUUGUUUUAGGAGUGAUGCUUCGACACAACAUCAAUCAGUCGGCAAGUUUCUGCAAUGGUACAAGAAUAACUAUCACAAAGCUGGAAAACAAGUACACUGAGGCACGGAUAAUUACAGGAACACACACGUAGACGACAAGGUAUGGAUAUCUAAAAUCAUCAUGUCACCAAGCGAAACGAAGUGACCGUUUGUGCUGAAAAUAAGACACUAUUAGUAAGCUUGCCAUGACCAUAAAUAAGAGCCAAGGUCAGUCCCUCAAUAAGGUGAGCGCAGGACUAUAUUUGGCCUAAGUAAGUAUUCUAUCAUGGACAACUGACCGUGGCGUUAUCAGGAGUCACAAAAUAGAGAAGGGUUUAAGAUGUUGAUUAACGACAACAUGCCCAAGCGAAGAUAACACAAAGAAUAUAUUCCCAUUCAACGAGUAGUAUACAACGAGACCUUAUAUUUUUAUUUAUUUUUGUUAUUCAAGUAAAUGCACAUGAACGCCAGAUCGUGGUUUUGUAAACUGGAAAUAAGAAAAGAAAAUAUUAAUUGGAUGGAAUGUCACAAUAGAAUUUUUCACAAAUGCAAAUAGUAGUACUAUCAACUAGAAAAAAAUUGGUGUCAUGCGGAGUAUAACAUUUGCUGUAUAAAGUUCCAUAUAAUUGCUAAGUGCUAAAGAGGACAAUAAUUAAAGGACAGUACAAUCCCGAAAGAAAAAAUGUAAGUUGAACCCUAUAAAAUAAAUAGUAUGCAAUAGAGAUCAAUGGCAGGUCGUAUAGCUAUAUAGAUUCAAACAUCCUACUAAUAGUCCAUACGUGAAUACCAACAGUAUGUAUGUACAUCUGCUAAGUAGAAAUUGUAACUGCGUAAUUUAUAAUAUAUCACCAUAUCUCUGGAAUUACUUUAACAGGCAUACUAAAUAACUGAAAUUAUGAAGUACAUAUGCUGCCAAGCAAAAGGAGAAAUGGGAGUUUACAAAGAGAUUCAUACCUAUUGCUCUUCUCAGCCUAUGACGAACAACUGGCCAUUCAGCACAACGCCAAAGCUCUCUGCCCCGGCGCCUGUGGCCUCUCGGCGACCGCCCUCUGUCUUUCCAGCAGCGACAGCGAGAUGCGGCCUCGCUGGUGGCCGGUGCCACAACCGCGGCUCCAACACAGGUCCCCGACUCGGCCAGACAUGGACUCGAAGAGAACACCCUUACAAGCUUUCCUCAUGCACGAGCAGCCCUCUGAUUUGGCAUAGCCAGCUUGGAAGACCAGGCUGCACGAUUCUUCCGGGAAAUCUGCAACGCCUCCAUCACACCAGGAACCUCCGGCGCCGCCGUCGGACAUCCCGCGUUCUCCGUUGCUCCACCUUGCCCACCCCGUGGCCACGCAUGGCUUGGAAGACCAGCACCAUAGAAAACCAAAAGGGGAUCUGUUCUAUCUUUCUAGAAGCAGAGACAAGAGAUGGAUACCACGUUAAGCACUACAAAGAUAUUUGUUCUCAGCAUUUUCUCUUCUUUUUCUUUUUGAUGGUUUUCUUACAACAUUGGGAAUAAGUAGAGUGUACAGAACUUUUUUGCACUUAAGAGCUAC
RNAcentral lists this long non-coding RNA (3843 nucleotides) under Triticum aestivum (bread wheat). RNAcentral's name for it is "long non-coding RNA (TAES_LNC017875)". The record is from RNAcentral. Lineage: Eukaryota; Viridiplantae; Streptophyta; Magnoliopsida; Poales; Poaceae.